GAAGUGCUUUUACAACCUUGAUGGCAUCCUGUUGACUGGUACUUCAUCAUUUAUUGCUGAACUCUGAAGAGAAAGAAUGAUACACUGAAGCAAAAAAAUGGAGUUUGCAGCAUACUGUUUUAAAUUGAUUGAAUACGUCAUGGGGUUACUGAACUGCAGUUUUACAAAUAUAGAUCAAACCAGGACACAUCGCUUUAAAUCUAUUGACCACAAUCUUCACGUGAGCUCAAAGAGAAAGUAGGUCAUCAAUGGGCAAGCAUCCUCGGUUCGUGUCCCCGUGUAGUAUAUCAACAGUUCAGUGAGUGCUUUUUAUGGCACUGUACACAGCUGGACCACAGAUCAGUGUUGUUUUUCUUUCACAUAAUUAACCAUUUCAUUUCGCUGAUAGAAUCUAAUUUCCCUCUUGAUGUUGUUAAAAACAACACAAUAAUCCCUGCAAAUGAAAGGUCAAUUGCAAAGCCCUAAUGUCCUUGUUGUUUUGAAAACAAAUAUAUAAGCAUGCCACUCUGCCUUUGUUGAUGGUCUAGUUGGCUUGUCGGCAGCAAAGAGUGUUCACCAGAUUGAUCAUUUUCAGGUUGCUGCUGCCCUCUGGUGGAGACAUCUAUGCAAGAAGGAAUAGUGAGACGUCAUUGAACAAAGAAGGAUAGCAGUAGUAGUACAUAACGCCUGUAUUUUUCAGGAACUUUUGUGGUUACAAUACAAACCCUCUGAAGUGAUUCAAAACCACUCACCUUUUUCUCUCCACUGUCUUCUGCCUGCAUGGACAGACAUCAAUGUGCCUAUCUGUCACAGCAAGACCUACAAAAAAAACCUCAUGCAACCAAACCUAACAGGAAGUCUCCAGUUUUGAGUGGGGUGUCAUCAACUCCUCAUGCAUGCAGUGCAUUAUAAACACACCGCAGAUCAAAAGCAAACAAUGGUCAUUUUUUUGUCUGAUGGUGUAGCUCUGGCAAGCUCACAAAUUUACUUUUUUUUGCCAUGACACAUUCUUUUUCUCAACCAUGCAUACUCUAAUCUCAACCUAAGUCAGAGGCGCCCCCUUGUGGAAGCAGGAAAUGCUAUGCUUUCACUGCAAAAGCUUAAGGCUUCAAGACCACUGAACAGAUCUGCAUCAUUUUAGGUCAGGAUAUCUUGAUAUCUUGAUGUGUGCCCAAACCACAAGUUUUGUCAAGGGUGUGUAAGGGUGGAUGAGAGUUUUUUCAGAGGGUGUGUCAGGGUGGUGUGCUGAAUUUUGAUUGUGCCAGGUUGUCUUACCAUGAAACUUCAAACUGUUCUAGCUCUGCCCAACAGUAACAUAAUGACACGUUGCUUGUGCUUAUGAUACGUAGGCCAAGAGCCUAAGCUCUUUUGUUAUUUUAGUAAAACUAAAGGAGAACAAAAACUCAAAUGUCUGGACACAAAAGCAGUAUGAGGAACAAUGAUGAAAAAGCUUAAAGGGAUAUUCCGGCCUAAAAUUAAGUCAAACACACCCUAACACCAAGUUAGACACCCCUUCCAGAGAUGAAUGUUGCCGACCACUUGCUUCUCUAGUUAUACCAACUUUAGUAACUACCACAGGAUAGCAAUACAGAGAGCCACACGCUCAACCAAAACGCCACUUUACAGCCACAAAUAAUGCUCAGAACAGCACCUAACUUCAUCUACAGUACAUAUAGGGUCCUAGCCAUAGUACUAGCCACCAAACAUCUUUUUUGCUUUCCCUUAUUUCUUUAGCAAAGUGACUAAACACAACUCAACUACUCUCUUCUAGCAGCCGCUUGUUUGUAGCAAGACCUUGGGCCAGUCCAUUACAGACUACACCAGGGUGACGCAGCUCAAGGAAGAACAUUUAUGAUCAUUACUU
This 1843-nucleotide long non-coding RNA is filed under the name Xyrichtys novacula (pearly razorfish). Lineage: Eukaryota; Metazoa; Chordata; Actinopteri; Labriformes; Labridae. The record is from RNAcentral.